AUUACCAUGAAGAAAAUAAUAUCAACAGCUCAGCCAUGGACACAGUUCAAUGUUGCUAUUCACGUGAAAAGAUGUUAACUCUAAAUGGAUCACCAAUGUCUAUGUUUCGUCCACAAUCGUUUCACUCAGUAAUUUUGCUUCAUCCAGAACUUGUCCGUUUGGCUCCAUCACCGGAAUCUUGAGCUCUCUUCAUCCGUACUUUUCAUGUUCAAUAGUUUCUUUUUCGAAAUGCACACAAUUCACACCAACUCACUGUUCUCACUUUUACUUGAAAUAAAGUAAUUUCUUAUC
Long non-coding RNA from Caenorhabditis elegans, 291 nucleotides. Ensembl annotates it as ncRNA. Its record names the gene linc-36. The record is from Ensembl. Lineage: Eukaryota; Metazoa; Nematoda; Chromadorea; Rhabditida; Rhabditidae.